GAGCGGCAGCAGGUCCUUCGGGAUGCUGGCGAGCGGCGGACGGGUGAGUAACACGUGGGAAUCUGCCCAUCGGUGGGGGAUAGCCCGAGGAAACUCGGAUUAAUACCGCAUACGCCCUACGGGGCAAAGUAGACCUCUGAUUUAAGUUUACGCCGAUGGAUGAGCCCGCGGCCGAUUAGCUAGUUGGUGGGGUAAAGGCCUACCAAGGCAACGAUCGGUAGCUGGUCUGAGAGGACGAUCAGUCACACCGGAACUGAGACACGGUCCGGACUCCUACGGGAGGCAGCAGUGGGGAAUAUUGGACAAUGGGCGAAAGCCUGAUCCAGCAAUGCCGCGUGGGUGAAGAAGGCUUGAGGGUUGUAAAGCCCUUUCAGCAGGGAGGAAAAGCGUACGGUUAAUACCCGGGCGUCUUGACGUUACCUGCAGAAGAAGCACCGGCUAACUCCGUGCCA
This 452-nucleotide ribosomal RNA is filed under the name uncultured bacterium. RNAcentral's name for it is "bacterial SSU rRNA". It matches the Rfam family "Bacterial small subunit ribosomal RNA", at positions 64 to 510 of the family's 1533-position model. The record is from RNAcentral.